GACGAACGCUGGCGGCGGGCUUAACACAUGCAAGUCGAACGAGGUUUACCGAGUAGCAAUACGAGGGAAGACCUAGUGGCGAACGGGUGAGUAUCACGUGAGAAACCAACCCCGGUCUCUGGGAUAACAGUUGGAAACGACUGCUAAUACUGGAUGUCGUCGUACCCUCGCAUGGGGGGAUGACGAAAGGGUUACCGGAUCGGGACGGUCUCGCGGCCUAUCAGCUUGUUGGGGAGGUAACGGCUCACCAAGGCUUCGACGGGUAGCUGGUCUGAGAGGAUGAUCAGCCACACUGGGACUGAGACACGGCCCAGACUCCUACGGGAGGCAGCAGUGGGGAAUCUUGCGCAAUGGGCGAAAGCCUGACGCAGCCACGCCGCGUGCGGGAUGAAGGCCCUAGGGUUGUAAACCGCUUUUAACAGGAACGAAAAUGACGGUACCUGUAGAAUAAGGUGCGGCCAACUACGUGCCAGCAGCCGCGGUGACACGUAGGCACCAAGCGUUGUCCGGAUUUAUUGGGCGUAAAGAGCUCGUAGGCGGUUCAGUAAGUCGGGUGUGAAAACUCUGGGCUUAACCCAGAGACGCCACUCGAUACUAUUGUGACUAGAGUUCGGUAGGGGAGCGGGGAAUUCCUAGUGUAGCGGUGAAAUGCGCAGAUAUUAGGAGGAACACCGGUGGCGAAGG
RNAcentral lists this ribosomal RNA (684 nucleotides) under Actinomycetes bacterium. Its description in RNAcentral is "bacterial SSU rRNA". It matches the Rfam family "Bacterial small subunit ribosomal RNA", at positions 28 to 721 of the family's 1533-position model. Lineage: Bacteria; Bacillati; Actinomycetota; Actinomycetes. The record is from RNAcentral.